RNAcentral lists this transfer RNA (77 nucleotides) under Candidatus Doudnaibacteriota bacterium. RNAcentral describes it as "Candidatus Doudnabacteria bacterium tRNA-Arg". It matches the Rfam family "tRNA". Rfam says of the family: Transfer RNA (tRNA) molecules are approximately 80 nucleotides in length. Their secondary structure includes four short double-helical elements and three loops (D, anti-codon, and T loops). Further hydrogen bonds mediate the characteristic L-shaped molecular structure. tRNAs have two regions of fundamental functional importance: the anti-codon, which is responsible for specific mRNA codon recognition, and the 3' end, to which the tRNAs corresponding amino acid is attached (by aminoacyl-tRNA synthetases). tRNAs cope with the degeneracy of the genetic code in two manners: having more than one tRNA (with a specific anti-codon) for a particular amino acid; and 'wobble' base-pairing, i.e. permitting non-standard base-pairing at the 3rd anti-codon position. Lineage: Bacteria; Candidatus Doudnaibacteriota. RNAcentral also lists the same sequence under 1 other name. The record is from RNAcentral.
GCACCCGUAGCUCAGCUGGAUAGAGCGUGGGCUUGCGGAGCCCAAGGUCGUAGGUUCGAAUCCUGCCGGGUGCACCA